CCUACGGGUGGCAGCAGUGGGGAAUAUUGCACAAUGGGGGAAACCCUGAUGCAGCGACGCCGCGUGAGUGAAGAAGUAUUUCGGUAUGUAAAGCUCUAUCAGCAGGGAAGAAAUAGCGACCUUUGGGUCGCCAGACGGUAGCUGAUUAAGAAGCCCCGGCUAACUACGUGCCAGCAGCCGCGGUAAUACGUAGGGGGCAAGCGUUAUCAGGAUUUACUGGGUGGAAAGGGAGGUAAGACGGCAGCGCAAGUCUGAAGUGAAAUGCCGGGUCUUAACCCCGGAACUGCUUUGGAAACUGUGCAGCUAGAGUGCAGGAGAGGUAAGUGGAAUUUCUAGUGUAGCGGUGAAAUGCGUAGAUAUUAGGAGGAACACCAGUGGCGAAGGCGGCUUACUGGACUGUAACUGACGUUGAGGCUCGAAAGCGUGGGGAGCAAACAGGAUUAGAUACCCCUGUAGUC
Molecule: ribosomal RNA, 458 nt
Filed under: uncultured bacterium
Lineage: Bacteria
Description: partial 16S ribosomal RNA
Rfam family: Bacterial small subunit ribosomal RNA
Source: RNAcentral